ACUACGGGAGGCAGCAGUGGGGAAUAUUGCGCAAUGGGCGAAAGCCUGACGCCGCGACGCCGCGUGAGGGAUGCAGGUCUUCGGAUCGUAAACCUCUGUCAGCAGGGAAGAAAGGUCACUGUGCUAAUCAGCAGUGAAUUGCCGGUACCUGCAACGGAAGCACCGGCUAACUCCGUGCCAGCAGCCGCGGUAAUACGGAGGGUGCGAGCUUUAAUAGGAAUUACUGGUCGUAAAGCGCUCGUAGGCGGAAGGUCAAGUCAAGGGUGAACUCCCCGGGCUCAACGUGGGAACUGCCUUUGAAACUGGCAGACUGGAGUGUGUGAGAGGAUAGUGGAAUUCCAGGUGUAGGAGUGAAAUCCGUAGAUAUCUGGAGGAACAUCAGUGGCGAAGGCGACUAUCUGGCACAUAACUGACGCUGAGGAGCGAAAGCGUGGGUAGCAAACAGGAUUAGAUACCCGGGUAGUC
This 465-nucleotide ribosomal RNA is filed under the name uncultured bacterium. RNAcentral's name for it is "partial 16S ribosomal RNA". It matches the Rfam family "Bacterial small subunit ribosomal RNA", at positions 338 to 795 of the family's 1533-position model. The record is from RNAcentral.